UUUCUCCCUAGCCCGAUCCCUCUCCUCCUCCCCUCUGGCGGACCCGAGCUUUCCUCUUUCCCUCCCUCGCGCGCCGACUCUCCCUUCUUCAUCGCAUCGCCCCUACACCCUACGCCAUCACCGAGCUCCUCUCGCGGGUUUCCUUCUCUUCUCUUCAUCUCGAGACGCUGCGAACCCUUCCUUCCCCCCUUCACAUCGCCGCCUCGACUCUUCUCUCUCGAGCCCCGACGCCGAUCCUUCCCUGCCGUCGUCUCCUUGUCGUGGAGGUUCUCACCGCACCAAUCGCCACAAGAGCACCGUCGGCAGCAGUCCUUCUUUUCGCGUGUCUCUUCCCUAGAGUGAUCACCGCCUUCCCUGUGCUCUAGCGUCGGCACAGAUCGCCUCCUCUACUGCGAUUUGGAAGCACAACAGUUGUGCCCUAGCUUCUAUUCACUGCCCUUCUCGAGCUCCUCCCUAUUCUGAUAAUCCACGCCGCAAGUUGCCAGUGGGCUCCGGUCAUAAAUUUCCGACAGCAAACUUUUCCGGUCGUGAGUCAGCGGCUGUGCGAGUGGAUUUGGGACGUUGAUUCGAGAUGGGCGUCCUGACGUAGGAUUUCUGGAUACGAUCUUCUAUUGAG
Long non-coding RNA from Zingiber officinale, 616 nucleotides. RefSeq lists it as uncharacterized. Lineage: Eukaryota; Viridiplantae; Streptophyta; Magnoliopsida; Zingiberales; Zingiberaceae. The transcript has 3 exons. The record is from RefSeq and is a predicted model, not a curated record.